Molecule: long non-coding RNA, 1470 nt
Filed under: Mus musculus (house mouse)
Lineage: Eukaryota; Metazoa; Chordata; Mammalia; Rodentia; Muridae
Description: predicted gene, 40621
Source: RNAcentral
AAUAAUGGAUGUUGUAUUUUGCAUUUUUCCUUAUCGUCACAGAAAUUGUUAUGAUAAUAAUUUCAAUGAAGAAUAUUCAAAAUUCAGCAUGGGAUCCAGUGCAUAAAUAUGAGCUCAUGGAGAAUCCAGGGCAUCUCAGGGAGCCUGGCUGAGAAGACUGUGCAUGAGUCAACCACAAGGCAGUAAGGACAUGGAGAGUCCUGGGACCAGAGCUGUCAUUAACAAACACAGCAGAGCAGUUCAUUCAUUUAACUAACAUAUGCAAACUUUACUCCUGCAGUGUGUAGCCAUAAACCAGAGAUGUCUCAUCCCUCACUUUAAUCAUAUGCAAGUCCAUUAUGCAUAGACGGAAGACGAAGGAUGGAAGUUGUCUAGGUGUGAACCAAAUACUGACCUCUCCCUCAAAGGUAUCUUCUUUGACAUGAGAAGACUGAACAGUCAGUCAAGGAUACUGAAAACUUAGGUUACUCCUGGCCUAGUACAGAGAUCUUAGCAGCCACCACCAACAGCUCCAGCUUCAAAAUAACACUCUGGUCUUAUCAGAUUGACUCCAACCACAUCCUCAUACAGAUGAAGGCCAGCUUCAUCUGUGUGCCACCUUUAAUGAUUUCCAAGAAUGGCUCAUCCUGACAGAAUAUUUUACUUAAAAAAAAAAUAAAUGAUCUCUCACCAAGCAUGCAAUCGCAACACUGUGGGUACAUUGGCACGUUUCAUAUAAUCUGUGUUCUUCAGUCACGCAGUGGACAUCUGUUGGUUAUGUUUGCCAAAAAUUCAUUUCCCCUUCCUUUGAAAUGGCGCCCCAGACUCACAUUGGGAAGGCUGCCCCUUCCUUAGGGCAUGCAAGCAUGGGAUUGUUAAACAGGAUGUUUUCAUUUUCUCCAGCCAGGGGAUGGACAUAUAGGACAAACUAUAUGAAUCCCGUGCUUGCUUUUCUUUGAAAUCUGGAGCUCACAAUGAAUGUGGAGAAUGGUAUAAAAAGCAGUUGGCAUUAAUUAUCACAGCCUGUUAUAAUUGUUCUUUGGUUUUUUCCCUCUAAACAUGUCAGUUUCUGAUUUCAAGAAUGACUCUAAUCAUAUACAGGGAUCUGAAUUCUUCUGUCCUACCUAUCUUUUGCACUUCAUGGGCUAGGUUGGAUUCUGUUAUUUACACCCAAGCAAUCCUAACUGAUCUAAGUUUUCCCGGGAUGUAUUUUUAAUAGGGAUAUGUAUUGCCCCAAAUUUCCUGUUACUGAGGUUCAUUUCUGUUCCAAGAUAGAAUCAUACAUUAUUGUCAUGUGACUUUUCCUGGAACAAUAGGGGUGAAUGUCUGUUCACCCCAGGUACCACAACAGAAAUAAAUUUAAGAAACAGCCCCAUCCAAGUCUGCCUAGGUGAAUGAGGAUGCCCACUGUGGUUAUUUAUAGGGGCAUGGGUGAAGGAUUACUCACUGAAAGACCCAGCUCCACAAAGGUGACGGCUUACAGAAUUUGCC